RNAcentral lists this ribosomal RNA (253 nucleotides) under uncultured bacterium. Its description in RNAcentral is "partial 16S ribosomal RNA". It matches the Rfam family "Bacterial small subunit ribosomal RNA", at positions 524 to 776 of the family's 1533-position model. The record is from RNAcentral.
CACGUAGGGCGCAAGCGUUGUCCGGAAUUAUUGGGCGUAAAGAGCUCGUAGGCGGACUGUUGCGUCCGCUGUGAAAAGCUGGGGCUUAACCCUGGCCUUGCAGUGGAUACGGGCAGACUAGAGGUAGGUAGGGGAGAAUGGAAUUCCCGGUGUAGCGGUGAAAUGCGCAGAUAUCGGGAGGAACACCGGUGGCGAAGGCGGUUCUCUGGGCCUUACCUGACGCUGAGGAGCGAAAGCGUGGGGAGCGAACAGG